UUUAGUGGACAGAAAUAAUUCAGCCUUUUGGAACAAUACCCAGGCUUAACAUAGACGAAUAAUGAGCUUAAGACAACAGAACGUGCUUUUUGGUAUGCAAGACAAUAUAACAACUCUGCAGAUAGAACAUGACAAUGUACUCAGAUUUGAAUGCAGAAAGGCAUUUUGGAGGGACAAAAUCAGCACAAAUAUAAGGUAUUUGAUACAAUCAUGGUGUAAAUGUGAUUUUCCAUCUCCUGAGGUUAUCUUGGCGCAAGAGGCAUGGUAAUAUGUUAGGUGUAAAGAGGUGGUUUUUUUGCCAGUUUUGGUUGGAUAUUAGUCAUCACCUGAAUUAUGUGUUUCUUAUGAAUUGGAAGGCAUUGACAUAACCAAAGCCUCAAAUUUCAACUGGCACUUAGAUGACGGUAAUGAAAGGGUUUACUAGGCCUGCAUUGGCUUUGUAUAUUUAUUUUUCUGGUUCAGUGAUGAGCCAGAGCAGCCUGGAAUUCCAGACGCAAAUCCAAAAGAUUAACUUGCUGAGCAAAUUCAAAUUUUGCUGUCGCAAGAACUUUGGAUUUCCAGGGUGGAACCAGAGUACAACAAGAUUACAUUUUCUUUACCAGCUUGCCAUCUAGAUCAUCCAGCAUCUAAAACCAGAUCACAACUGCUAGUUUCCUUUUGCAGAAGUGUGAAGUCUGAGGUGUGUUCACGACUCUGGGCUCGACACCUGAGAAGGAGCUGAAAAGCACCGGUAUGGAGGGAGGGGGAAAAGGUCUGAGUGAUCUACAAAGACACUAUUGCUGUAUGUUUGUAUGCAGAAAGGAACUCUGCAUCUGAAUACAAAAAUCUUCUGAGCGACUCAAUCAGUUAGAUUUUUACUACAGACUGUGGAAUUAAAGUUACCAUAUAAUGCGAGUACAAUGUUUGUUUAUCACAUAAAGCUAGCCUGUGAUGCAUCGUGGAUUCUGCAGUGCACUUGUAAUUUCACUAUCAAUAAUUUCACAGAUUUAUGUAUUCUCUGCACAGUGCUGGUGUUGGGCAGUGCACAUAUAAGAAGAAUCAUACCAUACACACACACAAACUGACGUAAGCAGUGAAGCUAUAACAAUGUCCUGUAGUGGUCUUAAAUGUAUUUUCUUUUUUGUCCACAGUGAUUUAUCAACUAUGCAAAACAAUUGUAUGGCUUAUGCUGUUAUUCUAAACCUGUGGCCAGUGUCCAUGGUGUCUCAACCUCCUAAACUAUUUAAAGACUAUCACCAAUUUGUGAUUGUGAGAUUUAGUAUAGGAAUUUCAGUCACUAAGACGUGAGCUUUUAGGAAAAGCAUACACUUCCUAUUCACAGUAGGCUAUUAUAAGAUUUGGCUUUUUAUUGCGGCUGUAAAAACUUAAAUAUAUAGAUCUAAUGCUCAAUGUUUGUGUUUUGUUGUCAACUGCUUUAGUUCUUUGUAGUCCUGCUGUAAUUAUACAAAGGGCUCAUCGGGCAUGAUGAAGUUGAGUUGCAUUGUGGGUAACCCAGGAACCAAUAAAAAUGGGGACUGCUGGAGACUCCCAGAAAAACCUUUUUGCAUACUUUUUCUUUUACUUUUAAGUAUGUACUGCAGCUGUCCUUAACAGGUAUGUGCUGUUGCAUGCAAGUUGCUUACAAAUGGGACAUACUCCUUCAUAACAUUGCAAUUUAAACUUUGGCCCUCAAGCUUGUUUAUGAUUGUGGGUCAGAAUAUUGAAAAGCAUGCUGGCUUGCAUACUGCAAAUUCCGAGUGUGUGACUGAUGCACGUUCUUGUAGGCUUGCAUCGGUUUGUCUCGUCAUUUUUUGAAUUAGGAACCUAAUUUUGACCUUUAUCCUUUAGUAAUUUAUAUGCCUUUGUCCCAAGACUUAUAAGAGAUGGCACUCCUUGUAACUUCAAACUGAUACCGUACAAGUCAGUUUCAAAAUUUAAAAUUCUACUUACAGAUUUCUCAGUGUUCACCAAGUCUAAAAAAAUAUAUAUAAAUGACAGCUGUUAUAGCAAUGCACAAUGGUAAUGGGGCUAUUGUGUAUGAGAACUUCUUUCUUUUUUUCUGAUAAAUACAUUUCCUUAAGUUUGAAUCCAGGAGUUUUUUUAUUUAUUGGGUACUACUAAUUUUCAUAAACCCAUCAUUCAUUGUUGCAAUAUAGAACGAGUAUGGCAGCUUU
This is a long non-coding RNA of Etheostoma cragini (Arkansas darter), 2153 nucleotides long. RefSeq lists it as uncharacterized. The transcript has 2 exons. The record is from RefSeq and is a predicted model, not a curated record. Lineage: Eukaryota; Metazoa; Chordata; Actinopteri; Perciformes; Percidae.